Molecule: ribosomal RNA, 801 nt
Filed under: Alternaria alternata
Lineage: Eukaryota; Fungi; Ascomycota; Dothideomycetes; Pleosporales; Pleosporaceae
Description: partial large subunit ribosomal RNA
Rfam family: Eukaryotic large subunit ribosomal RNA
Source: RNAcentral
ACAGGGAUUGCCCUAGUAACGGCGAGUGAAGCGGCAACAGCUCAAAUUUGAAAUCUGGCUCUUUUAGAGUCCGAGUUGUAAUUUGCAGAGGGCGCUUUGGCUUUGGCAGCGGUCCAAGUUCCUUGGAACAGGACGUCACAGAGGGUGAGAAUCCCGUACGUGGUCGCUGGCUAUUGCCGUGUAAAGCCCCUUCGACGAGUCGAGUUGUUUGGGAAUGCAGCUCUAAAUGGGAGGUACAUUUCUUCUAAAGCUAAAUAUUGGCCAGAGACCGAUAGCGCACAAGUAGAGUGAUCGAAAGAUGAAAAGCACUUUGGAAAGAGAGUCAAACAGCACGUGAAAUUGUUGAAAGGGAAGCGCUUGCAGCCAGACUUGCUUACAGUUGCUCAUCCGGGUUUCUACCCGGUGCACUCUUCUGUAGGCAGGCCAGCAUCAGUUUGGGCGGUAGGAUAAAGGUCUCUGUCACGUACCUCCUUUCGGGGAGGCCUUAUAGGGGAGACGACAUACUACCAGCCUGGACUGAGGUCCGCGCAUCUGCUAGGAUGCUGGCGUAAUGGCUGUAAGCGGCCCGUCUUGAAACACGGACCAAGGAGUCUAACAUCUAUGCGAGUGUUUGGGUGUCAAGCCCGAGCGCGUAAUGAAAGUGAACGGAGGUGGGAACCCGCAAGGGUGCACCAUCGACCGAUCCUGAUGUCUUCGGAAGGAUUUGAGUAAGAGCAUGGCUGUUGGGACCCGAAAGAUGGUGAACUAUGCUUGAAUAGGGUGAAGCCAGAGGAAACUCUGGUGGAGGCUCGCAGCGGUUCU